This 600-nucleotide ribosomal RNA is filed under the name uncultured bacterium. Its description in RNAcentral is "bacterial SSU rRNA". It matches the Rfam family "Bacterial small subunit ribosomal RNA", at positions 1 to 591 of the family's 1533-position model. The record is from RNAcentral.
AUUGAGUUUGAUCCUGGCUCAAGAUGAACGCUGGCGGCGUGCUUAACACAUGCAAGUCGAACGGGGAUGCCAUUUUCGAGGUGAUUAGUUUACUAAGAGCCAAGAUGUUGGCAUCUUAGUGGCGGACGGGUGAGUAACGCGUGGGUAACCUGCCUUAUACAGGGGGAUAACACUUAGAAAUAGGUGCUAAUACCGCAUAAGCGCACGGGGCUGCAUGGCCCAGUGUGAAAAACUCCGGUGGUAUAAGAUGGACCCGCGUCUGAUUAGCUUGUUGGCGGGGUAACGGCCCACCAAGGCGACGAUCAGUAGCCGGCCUGAGAGGGUGGACGGCCACAUUGGGACUGAGACACGGCCCAAACUCCUACGGGAGGCAGCAGUGGGGAAUAUUGGACAAUGGGGGGGAACCCUGAUCCAGCGACGCCGCGUGAGUGAAGAAGUAUUUCGGUAUGUAAAGCUCUAUCAGCAGGGAAGAAAGAAAUGACGGUACCUGACUAAGAAGCCCCGGCUAACUACGUGCCAGCAGCCGCGGUUAUACGUAAGGAGCAAGCGUUAUCCGGAUUUACUGGGUGUAAAGGGAACGUAAACGGUUACGCAAGUCUG